AAGGGUAUGGCUCAGUAGUAGAGCAUGUGCUUAGCAUGCACAAGGUCCUGGGUUCAAUCCCCAGGCCCUCC
RNAcentral lists this transfer RNA (71 nucleotides) under Camelus ferus (Wild Bactrian camel). It matches the Rfam family "tRNA". Rfam says of the family: Transfer RNA (tRNA) molecules are approximately 80 nucleotides in length. The record is from Rfam by way of RNAcentral. Lineage: Eukaryota; Metazoa; Chordata; Mammalia; Artiodactyla; Camelidae.